Molecule: small nuclear RNA, 152 nt
Organism: Callithrix jacchus (white-tufted-ear marmoset)
Lineage: Eukaryota; Metazoa; Chordata; Mammalia; Primates; Cebidae
Gene: U1
Rfam family: U1 spliceosomal RNA
About the family: U1 is a small nuclear RNA (snRNA) component of the spliceosome (involved in pre-mRNA splicing). Its 5' end forms complementary base pairs with the 5' splice junction, thus defining the 5' donor site of an intron.
Source: Ensembl
AUACUUACCUGGCAGGGGAGAUACCAUGAUCACGAAGGUGGUUUUCCCAGGGCGAGGCUUAUCCAUUGCACUCCGGAUGUGCUGACCCCUGCGAUUUCCCCAAAAAACAAAACAAAAAAAAAUGAAGUUCAGAGAAGUUAGGUCACAUACUC